CUGAUCCGCAUGCCGCGUGUGUGAGAAGGCCUUCGGGUUGUAAAGCACUUUUGUCCGGAAAGAAAUGGCUCUGGUUAAUACCCGGAGUCGAUGACGGUACCGGAAGAAUAAGCACCGGCUAACUACGUGCCAUCAGCCGCGGUAAUACGUAUGGUGCGAGCGUUAAUCGGAAUUACUGGGCGUAAAGCGUGCGCAGGCGGUUUUGUAAGACAGGCGUGAAAUCCCCGGGCUCAACCUGGGAAUUGCGCUUGUGACUGCAAGGCUACAGUGUGUCAAAGGGGGGUAGAAUUCCACGUGUAGCAGUGAAAUGCGUAAAGAUGUGGAGGAAUACCGAUGGCGAAGGCAGCCCCCUGGGACAUGACUGACGCUCAUGCACGAAAGCGUGGGGAGCAAACA
Molecule: ribosomal RNA, 396 nt
Filed under: Ralstonia sp. 3CB3L
Lineage: Bacteria; Pseudomonadati; Pseudomonadota; Betaproteobacteria; Burkholderiales; Burkholderiaceae
Description: bacterial SSU rRNA
Rfam family: Bacterial small subunit ribosomal RNA
Source: RNAcentral